This is a long non-coding RNA of Ctenocephalides felis (cat flea), 674 nucleotides long. RefSeq lists it as uncharacterized. The record is from RefSeq and is a predicted model, not a curated record. The transcript has 4 exons. NCBI's taxonomy places the organism in Eukaryota, Metazoa, Arthropoda, Insecta, Siphonaptera, Pulicidae.
AUAGACAGUGUGAUCAUAUUGUACAGAUAAACAGAAAAGCUCUGAAAUCAUUAAUAAGCAAGCACGCCAGUGAAAAAUCUAAAUUGGAUCUUGUAGAUGAUUCAUAUACAUUAGGACUUGGUGUUAUUAUGGACAUUCUAAGAAAGGGUCUAGGAAAUAGAGUAACCGCUAUAAUUCCUAAAUUAGAAGCACAGCAAAUCUGGGAUGUCAAUGCGGACUGUAAAAAAAUAAGAACAAUGUUUGUAUAGGUUUUAUUUUAAAUCCUGAAGAGGCCUUAAAUGUUUUACAUAAGGGACCUGGAGCAAAUUUACCAGAAGCUGAAGAGUUCAGAAAAUUUUGGGGUUCAAAAUCAGAAUUGAGAAGAUUUCAAGAUGGUUCAAUUUCAGAAGCAUGUGUUUGGGGUAAAUCAACCGAUACCAUGUCUGCGAGGAGAAAUAUCACACGAGAUAUUGUUUUAUAUUUAUUACAAAAUAAUUUAUCCAUACAAGCAGAGCACAUAAAAUAUAUUUCAAAUCAAAUCGAAAGUAUUUUAAAAUUGCUCUCUGUGAAACCACAAAGUUUUGAAUAUGGAACAGGAGAAGAAGCUACAAUGAAGGUUAUCCAAGCUUUUGAUUCUUUGUCAAAAGAUUUAAGAAAUUUAAAAGAUCUGGCGUUAGAAAUUACAGCAUUGCAAG